This is a long non-coding RNA of Papaver somniferum (opium poppy), 659 nucleotides long. RefSeq lists it as uncharacterized. The transcript has 2 exons. The record is from RefSeq and is a predicted model, not a curated record. NCBI's taxonomy places the organism in Eukaryota, Viridiplantae, Streptophyta, Magnoliopsida, Ranunculales, Papaveraceae.
AUUGUUUGGUCUUAUCACCAAACGUGUGGAAGAGAGAACUCAUUUAUGUUCUUCUUUCUCUUUCUUCUUCUUUCUUCUUUUCUCUUCUUCCUCUCCGUUCUUCACCUGCUGGUGAAUUGAGUAUUUGAAAUAGAGAGAUUUUGAGGUCGAGAGAGAUAGGGUUUGAUUGAGUAGUAAUUACUGUUCGUGGUGCUGAUUUUGAAUUAGCUCUGAGGGAGAAGAAGAUGAUACUGUGAAUUCCAAAAGAGGAGAUUAUGAGUUCAAGUUAGGGUAUUUGAGUCUGAGAUGAAGAAUUCAAGAGGAUUGACGAAUCUGCUAAGAACCCUAGUGAUUAUUGAUGAAGGUGGUGUUGAUUUGAAUAUCGAUUCAGAAUCCAUGAGAAAGGUUAGUCGUUAUUAACAACGAUCGAUCUAAAGAUUGAACCAGUGGAUUAUGGAUCUCGAGGUAGGCAAGGCUUGUCAUCGAAAGAGGUGGGAACUCUGUAACCUUCUUGUAAUCAUUAAGCUUUCUUUAUCUACGAGCAUGAUGAGUCCUUACUAUCGGUGUGCAUGAUUGCGUGUUCUUUGAUGUACUAUUCAUGUAUCUUUGAGUAUGACAUAUAUGUUGUAUAUGUAUGUACGAUGAUUGCUUCGAUGUAUUGUUUGUGAUAUUCAUUGUGA